Molecule: ribosomal RNA, 1011 nt
Filed under: Triticum aestivum (bread wheat)
Lineage: Eukaryota; Viridiplantae; Streptophyta; Magnoliopsida; Poales; Poaceae
Description: partial small subunit ribosomal RNA
Source: RNAcentral
AUGUUCGACCUGGCCCUUGCUUGUGUUUUGGUGUUUCUUCCGUUCUCUUUGGGAAGGAUCGUCUUAUGGUGCAUAUUGUGUUCCGAUUCUUGCAAUGUGGGUGAAGUCAACUCCUACACUUCGACAGCUUCUGUCCUUCUAAUUGGAUACGGGUUUAUCAUUUCUGUGGGUGUAAUUUAUGCUGGGCUGUACAUUUUUGGCCAAUACUUGAGGGGGAAGCGCCUUGCGAUCGCAGCUUUCAUUAGAAGUCUGUCUGGUAUAUUCCUCACAGGGAUCACAUGUUUUACCAGUGUUGCCAGUUUUUGUCUUAAUACCCUGCACGGACUUAUAAUAUACCCGCUCUUCUUUGGCUGGUCGCUUGAUAUCUGCACUUCAAAAAUGUUCGGUGCAACAAUGUCUCAAAGGUUGGAACUUAUGUUUGCUGCAUCUUUUGCUUCAACUGCUCUUCAUUGUCUUAUUGGAUUCGAAUUUUUGUAUCUACACGGCUUAUGGUCCACACUUCUUCACAAGAUAUUCAGGCCAGGAGUUGCCGUUCCCACUUUCGACUAUGAUAUUAACAUUGACGAACCAUUCUACAAAUUUUAUUUCAACAAGCCUCAUCAUCUUCUGCAUGGCAUUCUCUAUAUGGCUGCGGUUAUUUUUGUUCCUGUUCAAAUUGCUGAUCGUCUGGCACCGGAGUUGUUCCCAUUAAAUAUCACUUGGCCUGCUGAGAGCUUAUCGUUUUGGCAAGCACCUCGAAAAGUUGGCGAUUCACUUUCUCGUGUUCUUCUUCUGAGGCUUCUCAUUGACGAAACUUAUAUGCCAAAUUAUACUGUGUUGCUAGUGAAGAAGAUAACUCGGUAUUCCGUUGCCACUAAUGUGGUGCUUGCGUGGUUGACUGCUGUGAUAUUCUAUUCGGCUGUGCUUAUUUUUCCAAUAUCAAUUGGGCGUGCCUUGUUUGCCAUCACCCGGCUGCCAGUAGCAGGUGGAUUGAAAUCCAAUGGUAAUGAUUGUUCAGAGAUGGUUAUUUGA